CUUCUUCUUCUUCCCUUCCGCUGGCUUCUGUGCCUCGAGGCUCUCGUGCGUGCGUGCUCGUCUAGCCACCUAGAUCCCGAUCUCCUCACACAUGCAUAUCGCCACAUGAUUUUUUUUCCCCGGGAAAAUCACUAAGAGCUUUAUUAAAUGAAAGCUGAACAGUCCGUCAACAGGCUACUGAUCAGGAAGCUGAAAGUACU
RNAcentral lists this long non-coding RNA (200 nucleotides) under Hordeum vulgare. Its description in RNAcentral is "long non-coding RNA (HVUL_LNC017854)". Lineage: Eukaryota; Viridiplantae; Streptophyta; Magnoliopsida; Poales; Poaceae. The record is from RNAcentral.